GAUGAACGCUGGCGGCGUGCCUAAUACAUGCAAGUCGAGCGAACAGAUGAGGAGCUUGCUCCUCUGACGUUAGCGGCGGACGGGUGAGUAACACGUGGAUAACCUACCUAUAAGACUGGGAUAACUUCGGGAAACCGGAGCUAAUACCGGAUAAUAUAUUGAACCGCAUGGUUCAAUAGUGAAAGACGGUUUUGCUGUCACUUAUAGAUGGAUCCGCGCCGCAUUAGCUAGUUGGUAAGGUAACGGCUUACCAAGGCGACGAUGCGUAGCCGACCUGAGAGGGUGAUCGGCCAAACUGGAACUGAGACACGGUCCAGACUCCUACGGGAGGCAGAAGUAGGGAAUCUUCCGCAAUGGGCGAAAGCCUGACGGAGCAACGCCGCGUGAGUGAUGAAGGUCUUCGGAUCGUAAAACUCUGUUAUUAGGGAAGAACAAAUGUGUAAGUAACUAUGCACGUCUUGACGGUACCUAAUCAGAAAGCCACGGCUAACUACGUG
Molecule: ribosomal RNA, 497 nt
Filed under: uncultured bacterium
Lineage: Bacteria
Description: partial 16S ribosomal RNA
Rfam family: Bacterial small subunit ribosomal RNA
Source: RNAcentral